Long non-coding RNA from Camarhynchus parvulus, 560 nucleotides. RefSeq lists it as uncharacterized. The transcript has 4 exons. NCBI's taxonomy places the organism in Eukaryota, Metazoa, Chordata, Aves, Passeriformes, Thraupidae. The record is from RefSeq and is a predicted model, not a curated record.
GCCUCUUUGUGUGCCAUGCCACCCCCCGAGGUCUGCAGGGAUGGGGCUUUUGGAGCCUGGAUUUUGCAGGAGCAGGAGGGGUACAGUCCAUGUCUCUGCUUCUGGCCCCUCAGCUGUGCACCGCUUUUCUUUUUGGCCUGACGAGGACAACUGGAACUAGACCUUUUAAAAACAGGCCACGGGUCACAGAAGAGCUUGAAGAAAUCACAAUAACUCCUACAGGAGAAGAGUCAGGCAGAGAGGGAAAGCGAACCAGACCAAAGAGGAGAUGGGACAACAGAGGACUUUGCUGCAGUCCCUGAGGAGGCUGGCUUUCCCUCUGAGGCACAGGGAAUUGAUGCAAACAGGAAACCGUGAGCAGCUCUGUCAUCACAAAGGUUGUUCUGGAAGCAGAAAUAAUAGGAAAUAUAUCUUUUAAAAGCUUAUUGAGUUUAUGAAGAAGACACAAUUCAACUGAAGACUGCAAGUCCCUGCAAUAAAAUUCAGUAAAAUCAGAAAAAAAUUGACCCAAUUUUUUUUUAAACAAAAGAUGGCCCAAUUCUACUGCAAAAUUCAGAUCU